GUCAGCAUGGUGUAGUGGUUUGAACACUGGACUAUGACUCUGGAGUUCAAGGUUCAAAUCCUAUGGUCUUUACA
Phrynosoma platyrhinos (Desert horned lizard) is the source of this 74-nucleotide non-coding RNA. Lineage: Eukaryota; Metazoa; Chordata; Lepidosauria; Squamata; Phrynosomatidae. The record is from the annotation of a GenBank genome assembly.